Molecule: long non-coding RNA, 730 nt
Organism: Gorilla gorilla gorilla (western lowland gorilla)
Lineage: Eukaryota; Metazoa; Chordata; Mammalia; Primates; Hominidae
Exons: 3
Source: RefSeq, a predicted model, not a curated record
GAUCACUGGGCCUGUGGGUUCCGCAGUGAGUCCAGCAUCGUUUCCUGCGCAGUGACCCAGGCCGGGUCCCCAUGGGCUCUGACUAGAAACAUAACACCCUGGAAGGCAAGAAAUGGGGAGCUGCAUCCGCAUCCACAGGGUCCCACCAGCCGGGAACAUCCCCACUGGCCUGGAAUUCCACCCCAGGCACCCCGCUGAUCCUGGGCCCGUCCCUGUGACCAGGAGAUGGAGUCCAGGGACUCUCCAGGCCUGGGCCAUGCGACUGCCCUAAGAGCCUGGCAUCAGGGAGCGGUGCUGUGUGCACCCCCAGGUCCACUGAGAGUAGGGAGGGGGCUUCCCCACGGGUAGGUGGGGAUGGAGGGUGGUCCGAAGAUCAGGAGACGGAGCCCUGCCCCGCUUCGCAGAGGACUGCCGUAAUGAGGAGUUGAGGAUUAAGGAGUACAGAGAACUCCAAAGAACAUGAGAGAAGCUCAUACAGGUGCCGGCACUGAAGAAGCCACCAGCCCAGCACCACCCUACAAGAGGGCCCAGCCCAGACCUUCCAACCCAGCCCACUGGAGCUGGCUUAGCCGCACCUUUUCUCCUGCCAGGCCUCCUCGGCGCCCUCUGCUCACUGUGCUCAACACUGCGCUGGCUGACAUGGGAGAGAUGUUGCCGGGCCCAGAUGCAUUUCCACCGAGCAGACAACGCAGGGCAGCUUUGGAACCCAGAGGCAAUAAAUCAAUAGCCA